UGCGCAGCGCGUGCUUCAUCACGAUAUUGCCGAAGGAGACGCCUUUCAGCCGCGCGGUGCGGAUAUACUGCGCGGUCAUAACCUCGGCCAUCGAGGCGCGCGUCAUCCGGGCGAUGUAACCGAUCCCGUAAAGCGCAAUCGUCAUCACCGGCAGCGUGAAGUUCACGAACGUUAUGU
This 177-nucleotide non-coding RNA is filed under the name Candidatus Rhodobacter oscarellae. RNAcentral describes it as "Candidatus Rhodobacter lobularis Ruegeria cis52 sRNA". It matches the Rfam family "Ruegeria cis52 sRNA". From Rfam's summary of the family: Cis-encoded. Targets oligo/dipeptide ABC transporter. The record is from Rfam by way of RNAcentral. Lineage: Bacteria; Pseudomonadati; Pseudomonadota; Alphaproteobacteria; Rhodobacterales.